CUCAAGAAAUCAAAGACA
RNAcentral lists this small nuclear RNA (18 nucleotides) under Arabidopsis thaliana (thale cress). Its description in RNAcentral is "snRNA_10652". Lineage: Eukaryota; Viridiplantae; Streptophyta; Magnoliopsida; Brassicales; Brassicaceae. The record is from RNAcentral.